Long non-coding RNA from Rhododendron vialii, 2110 nucleotides. RefSeq lists it as uncharacterized. NCBI's taxonomy places the organism in Eukaryota, Viridiplantae, Streptophyta, Magnoliopsida, Ericales, Ericaceae. The transcript is spliced from 3 exons. The record is from RefSeq and is a predicted model, not a curated record.
UCGUGGCUGCCGAGCUUCCUCUUCUUCCCCUUCAUCUGGAGCAUCCCAGAAGCCCUCAUCACCGCCGAGCUCUCCAUCGCCUUCCACACAAGGCCUUCGGCGAUGAUUAAAGUUUACGGUGAAGAAAUCAUUGUCGCGGCCGCCAACCCCCUCCUCUCCCUCCCUGGCUCCCUUCUCUCUCUGGGGUAAGAAUCUCCCCAUCAUCUCUCUCUCUCUCUCUACAAUUUAUUUUCUGAUUCGGUUUUUUGGGUAUUGUUUUUUGUUUUUUCAGUUUCAGCAUUUCAAGCAGCAGAAACAGCAGCCGGAGGUGGCAAACCAAGUGUUUCAGAAUAGGGCUUUUCUUGCAGCGUCGAGUAAGUAGCCUAACCAGGGGUGACGUUAUAGGGUUGGUGGGCAUAGGUUGCUAGAUGUUGUGAGCUGGGGUACACAUAUUCCUGAGAAUAUGCUUAGUAAUUGGAGAGAUCUUGAUGAAUCUUCCUUGCGGGGUGAGUUCUCUCUUCAAUGAAGCUCUAAGUUAAAUACUCUCUCCAGGAGGAGGAGGUUAGAUUCUUUCCCAAAUAAAGAGGGAAGAAAAGUAGAGAUACAAAAGAGCCGUGCACUUUCUCCAGGAGGAGGAGGUUAGAUUGUUUCCCAAAUAUGGUCCAUUUUAAAAUUUCUUUUUCCUUUCAGGACCUCCGAAAUACUUUUUACUGUUAUUACGAUUAGCUUUCUGCAGUUUUUUUCUUAGUAUCUACUUGAGUUAACAUAUUUUAACCCCGUAAAUCAGGUAUCUUAUAAUACUUUGAUGCUUUGAAGCUUCAUGGUUGCGAUGUUUCAAUUAAGAUUAAUUGUUUUUGUUUAUACAUGUUAAAUUGGAGGCUCAUUAUAUAUUCAGACUGUCUAUACUUGAGCUUAUAUAAUGUGGUUGGCUUCUCUGGGUUCAAGAUAAUCAUAUUUGCUGUGGUACGUUGCGUACUGAAACCCCAGACCAUAUUUUGUUGGAUGAUGCAUUUGGUUCAGAACACUAUGGGCAAUCUGUUACGUUGGGAAGCACUCGCCUCCUCUGCUGCGGCAAUCCCUGGUACUACAAACAAAAUACCUUUCUCUUGCAAGAAUAGCUCAUGGCCUACUUAAGUUUGAUAUGUGAACAUAACAGAGGUUAAGUUUUAUUUGUGGUUUUUUUUCUUAGGGUUAUUUUGUCAAAUCUGGUAUAAAUAUUGGUAAUGUCUACUUAAAAAUGCAACAUUCAAGUGUUAAAGCAUCACAAAGAUAAAGGGAUGGAUUAGAAGUGGAGUAUAAUGAGGGAUCCUGAAGGAAGUUAAGAGUACUUUCCCAGAAGUUAAGAUGACCCUCAACGAAGAAAGGUAAAUUAAGCACCAAAACAUACAAUCGUUCAAUGGUAGUCUUAGUUUUUUAGACUAUCUUUAGGCACAUUAUGGUGGUAGGUAGGAUGAUAGGAGUUCAACCACAUGACACACCCAUUGCGCCUCUAUUCUGGUUCAGGGACGUCAUGGCCGUGAACCAUGAUGUAAGCGAUGUAUUUCUUUGAUUUUUAUGCAAUUUUCUUCCUUCUUAGGUAGCGGACUCCCUAUCUCCCUUAUCUGUACUUUUUUUGGUACUCAUUUGCUCUCUCUUUUUUAGCAUGGUGGGCAAACUAAUGUCAAUGGUGGGGUGAUGGGGUGAUGGGCAACUGAUUAUGUGGUGUGUUGAAUUUGAUAAGAGCUUUAUUUAUUAGAUUAUGAGAUCCAUCAGAAAUUUAAAUGUAUAGAGUUGGAUAAAGUUACGACUCCUUUGUCAAUUGCGUUUCUUAAUAUUCUUAGCUUUGUUAAUUAGCUUUUUCUAUCAGGUGUAGAUGAAAUGGGAGGUUGAUAAAGCGGGAGGCUGGUGUUGUAGAUGGGAAAAAUUGCAUGAGAGAGCUAAGGGGAAAUAUGGCAAUGGAGGUGGAUGGGUGCAUGAGGAUUACACGCAGUGGUUUCCAGUUCCGAGCAAGAUGGAAUUGCUAGAGAUAGUCCAACUAUUGCUAGAGGGAGAUGAGAAUUAGAUAGGGAUUUGACUAUGGUAAGUAUUGGAUAUGAAUUUGACAAGGGACUAUGGGUUAGAAGGGAUGAGAAUUUAACUGAGAAUUUACUGU